AUCGCUUCUCGGCCUUUUGGCUAAGAUCAAGUGUAGUAUUAGUGCUCCGUUAACUUUUCUAAAUUUUUAGCCAAAUUUUUGUUUAUAAGGCCAUAGUUAUAUAUUAAAUUGUUGGUAAACGUCUCGUGAACCUGUUUGUUGGAUUUUAAAAUCGUUACUGCGCCGUUAU
This is a non-coding RNA of Paramuricea clavata, 169 nucleotides long. NCBI's taxonomy places the organism in Eukaryota, Metazoa, Cnidaria, Anthozoa, Malacalcyonacea, Plexauridae. The record is from the annotation of a GenBank genome assembly.